Molecule: transfer RNA, 71 nt
Filed under: Bos taurus (domestic cattle)
Lineage: Eukaryota; Metazoa; Chordata; Mammalia; Artiodactyla; Bovidae
Also listed under: 4 other names
Rfam family: tRNA
About the family: Transfer RNA (tRNA) molecules are approximately 80 nucleotides in length. Their secondary structure includes four short double-helical elements and three loops (D, anti-codon, and T loops). Further hydrogen bonds mediate the characteristic L-shaped molecular structure. tRNAs have two regions of fundamental functional importance: the anti-codon, which is responsible for specific mRNA codon recognition, and the 3' end, to which the tRNAs corresponding amino acid is attached (by aminoacyl-tRNA synthetases). tRNAs cope with the degeneracy of the genetic code in two manners: having more than one tRNA (with a specific anti-codon) for a particular amino acid; and 'wobble' base-pairing, i.e. permitting non-standard base-pairing at the 3rd anti-codon position.
Source: Rfam by way of RNAcentral
UCCUGGUGGCUCAGAGGUUAAAGCGUCUGCCUGCAAUGCAGGAGACCUAAGUUCGAUCCCUGGGUCGGGAA